RNAcentral lists this long non-coding RNA (292 nucleotides) under Medicago truncatula (barrel medic). RNAcentral's name for it is "long non-coding RNA (MTRU_LNC001186)". The record is from RNAcentral. Lineage: Eukaryota; Viridiplantae; Streptophyta; Magnoliopsida; Fabales; Fabaceae.
CAGAUUGAGCCAGUACGAGCCCAAUUCAUGAGAUUAUCAACCUUCGAGAUCACGUACUCCGCCGUCUUCGAUAUUCCGACGGGAGAGGUAGUCGAUGGAGGAGGCGGUGGAGCAUAAGGGGUGGGUGUGGUUGAUGAGAGAGAUGGGAGGGUUGUGUGAAGAGACGCUAUGCGUUGUGGUGAUGACAAUUGUGAGAAGCGUGAAGAUGUUCGAGUUAGAAAUGCCGCCAUGGUUGUUUGUUGCUUCGAGAGCACCGUUCUUUCUCCCUCGUUCUUCUUCUUCCUUCUGUUUG